This 117-nucleotide non-coding RNA is filed under the name Gorilla gorilla gorilla (western lowland gorilla). Lineage: Eukaryota; Metazoa; Chordata; Mammalia; Primates; Hominidae. The record is from Rfam by way of RNAcentral.
GCUGGGUGCGGUGGCUCACACCUGUAAUCCCAGCACUUUGGGAGGCUGAGAUGGGUGGAUCACCUGAGGUCAGGAGUUCGGGACCAGCUUGGCCAAAAUGGUGAAACCCCAUCUCUA